CGGAGCGGGUUCGCAGAGUAAGGGGGAGUAAGGCGAGGAGAAUCUGCGUAUGAGCGGGGGACAACAGUAGGAAAUGAAUGAUAAGGCGGCAUAAAAACUUUAAACACAAGUUUUAAGUUGGAGAGUUGCAAGAGCAUCAGUCAUAGAUGGUCCCGCGUUGUGUUAGGUAGGUGGUGAGGUAAAGGCUCACCACAGGGGGUGAGAUAUAGCCGACUGAGAGGGGUGAUCUGCCCUACACAGGGAAUGAGAGCACGGCCUCCAAGAUCUUAUAGGGAGGCAGCCAUAUGGGAAUAUUUGGCACAAGGAGGGAGAAGUGCUGACCCGCAACGCCGCGUGAGUGAAGAAGGUGUUCUGGAUACGUA
Molecule: ribosomal RNA, 362 nt
Filed under: uncultured bacterium
Lineage: Bacteria
Description: bacterial SSU rRNA
Rfam family: Bacterial small subunit ribosomal RNA
Source: RNAcentral